Molecule: unclassified non-coding RNA, 404 nt
Filed under: soil metagenome
Description: partial contains 5.8S ribosomal RNA, internal transcribed spacer 2, and large subunit ribosomal RNA
Rfam family: 5.8S ribosomal RNA (bases 1-121)
Source: RNAcentral
GAUGAAGAACGCAGCGAAAUGCGAUAAGUAAUGUGAAUUGCAGAAUUCAGUGAAUCAUCGAAUCUUUGAACGCACCUUGCGCCCUUUGGCCAUUCCGAAGGGCAUGCCUGUUUGAGUAUCAUGAACACCUCAACUCUCAUGGUUUGCCAUGAUGAGCUUGGACUUUGGGGGUCUUGCCGGCCUAUGGGUCGGCUCCUCUCAAAUUAAUCAGCUUGCCAGUGUUUGGUGGCAUCACAGGUGUGAUAACUAUCUACGCUUGUGGUUUUCCAUCAGGUAACCUUCAGUGAUGGAGGUUCGCUGGGGCUCAUAAAUGUCUCUCCUCAGUGAGGACAGCUUUUUUGAACGUUUGAUCUCAAAGCAGGUAGGACUACCCGCUGAACUUAAGCAUAUCAAUAAGCGGAGGA